Long non-coding RNA from Tetranychus urticae (two-spotted spider mite), 1257 nucleotides. RefSeq lists it as uncharacterized. NCBI's taxonomy places the organism in Eukaryota, Metazoa, Arthropoda, Arachnida, Trombidiformes, Tetranychidae. The record is from RefSeq and is a predicted model, not a curated record.
UAUUUCUUCACCAUUGUGACCCUCCUCUUUUAUUAUUCACAAUCUCUUCCUGGUUUGUUCUCAAUUAAUCUAACUUUCAGUGGAAAUUUCAAUCUCCUAAUUAUAUCAUCUCUAACCAAGUCUUAACGUUUACUGCUACUUGUGUCAAUAUGCCAUUAAAUGGAUUAAUUUAUCAGAAGUUUACUGUGCAAAUAACGAAGUCGAUUAUCAUUUACUGGAGAUUUUUCAGAUUUUGCUUUGUCCACUGCAAAAAGGCUUUAUUGAGUGACCAAUUUCAACUCAAAUCGCCAUGCUUAGAUGCACAACUUCUUAUCAGAUAGAAUAUAUUUUAGUAAUUUUCUUUAAUUUGACAUGCAAGCCUUAAUUGAGCAAAAAUUUAGGCACUUUCUUAAAUUAGACUGAAAGAUGAUGAUGGAACAAUGGAAAGUCAAAUGAAUAUUUCGUUGAUAAUCAUCAUAAGCCUUAAACAACAAUAUGCAAUAUUCAAUGGUAAUGUUAAUAAGAAGUGAAAGCCUAGGAGUAAAGACAAGACUAAAACAAAAGGAGUGAAUUCCAAAGGAAAAUAAUGAAGAAAUCUAAUUCAACUCAUUGAACCAUCAGCUGUUUAACCAAGAUUUGCUCAUACAAUUUCAUUUCCUUGGAAAAACUAAAGUGUCUGAAUAUGUCAAUGGAUGAAAAGGAUGAAGAUGAUGAUGAAGCCCAAGCUGAUGAAGUUGAGGAAGUCAAAGCUAAGGGCGAUGAACAAGAUGACAAGGAAUCCAAAAACAACAACAACAAUAAGAGGCUGUGUAUUAUCUCUUUCUCUUCUAUCUUUCUUUCCAUAAUAAUGGGAAGACAGAACGGUUAGAAAGAGGAAAACUAGUUAGUAUUCAAUGUGUUCCAUGAUCUUUGUUUGAAAUGGUCUCAGAUAGGAACAACCCUGUCAAUCCUGAGCCUUCUAUUAACUCUCUCGUAGCGUUUUUAUUCUUAUACAUAUUCAUAGUUUUCCUCCAUUCUAAUUCAAAACUACAUCUUUUACCUCACAAUUUUGUUUUUUUUCGCCAUGUCAGAUAGUUAUCCUUUAUCAUGCACAUUCAUUUCACAAACACCAUUGUCAACUUUACAUUGAAUGCUAAAUGCAAAUUAUUUCAUAAUUAGUUAAUCUUCUUUUUUUCCUUUUGUAUUCCAUCAUCUUUAGUCUAUUCAAUUAACACUAAACCUCUUUGGUUGUGUAUCUAAAUAGGUCUAGAAUACAGAAUAAAUUUAAAUUUAGCUGCA